CCUAAACGUGCUGACUAUGCAACUUCAGACAAGAACCAAGAAAAGUCACCAUUAAGGAGGAUUAAGGUACCUUUUAGAGAAAGUACAGACGGUUCCGAUCUCGUGAAUAAUCUGCAACGGAGGGGUACUCUUGUGGUGAUGGAUGAUGAAGGAUGUCACUUCCUAAACAAAACUCGUACAGAAAAGUCAAAAGAUGAAAUAGAAG
This is a long non-coding RNA of Grammomys surdaster, 205 nucleotides long. RefSeq lists it as uncharacterized. NCBI's taxonomy places the organism in Eukaryota, Metazoa, Chordata, Mammalia, Rodentia, Muridae. The record is from RefSeq and is a predicted model, not a curated record. The transcript has 3 exons.